UACGUAGGGGGCUAGCGUUGUCCGGAAUCAUUGGGCGUAAAGCGCGUGUAGGCGGUCCGGUAAGUCCGCUGUGAAAGUCGGGGGCUCAACCCUCGGAUGCCGGUGGAUACUGUCGGGCUUGAGUACGGAAGAGGCGAGUGGAAUUCCUGGUGUAGCGGUGAAAUGCGCAGAUAUCAGGAGGAACACCAAUUGCGAAGGCAGCUCGCUGGGACGUUACUGACGCUGAGACGCGAAGGCCAGGGGAGCAAACGGG
RNAcentral lists this ribosomal RNA (253 nucleotides) under uncultured bacterium. RNAcentral's name for it is "partial 16S ribosomal RNA". It matches the Rfam family "Bacterial small subunit ribosomal RNA", at positions 524 to 776 of the family's 1533-position model. The record is from RNAcentral.